AGAGUUGGUCAGGCAGUCGCUUUAUUACCUGGAAACGAGUAAUACAGAGGAAAGUCCGGGCUCCAAAGGGCAAGGUACCAGAUAACAUCUGGGAGGCGUGAGCCUACGGAAAGUGCAGCAGAAAAUAAACCGCCCCUCACCUACAAUCUUUGAUUCUAGGUGAGGGGUAAGGGUGAAAUGGUGCGGUAAGAGCGCACCGCGUGACUGGUAACAGGAGCGGCAUGGUAAACCCUACCUGGAGCAAGAUCAAAUAGAGGAGCAGACGCGCGGCCCGCGCGGCUCCUGGGUAGAUCGCUUGAGCCAUAAGGUAACUUAUGGCCUAGAUGAAUGACUGUCCAAGACAAAACCCGGCUUAUCGACCAACUCUAACU
RNAcentral lists this RNase P RNA (371 nucleotides) under Gammaproteobacteria bacterium. Its description in RNAcentral is "RNase P RNA component class A". It matches the Rfam family "Bacterial RNase P class A". Rfam says of the family: Ribonuclease P (RNase P) is a ubiquitous endoribonuclease, found in archaea, bacteria and eukarya as well as chloroplasts and mitochondria. Its best characterised activity is the generation of mature 5'-ends of tRNAs by cleaving the 5'-leader elements of precursor-tRNAs. Cellular RNase Ps are ribonucleoproteins. Lineage: Bacteria; Pseudomonadati; Pseudomonadota; Gammaproteobacteria. The record is from RNAcentral.